AAAGCUUUAAGUUAAAAAAAACUAUUAAUCUUCAAAAUUAAAAAUAUAUAUUUAUAAGUUUUA
Molecule: transfer RNA, 63 nt
Filed under: Henschiella sp. PJ-2015
Lineage: Eukaryota; Metazoa; Arthropoda; Insecta; Hemiptera; Enicocephalidae
Description: tRNA-Trp
Source: RNAcentral